Molecule: ribosomal RNA, 301 nt
Filed under: uncultured bacterium
Lineage: Bacteria
Description: partial 16S ribosomal RNA
Rfam family: Bacterial small subunit ribosomal RNA
Source: RNAcentral
CAGCCGCCACGGUAAUCCGUAGGUGGCAAGCGUUGUCCGGAAUUAUUGGGCGUAAAGCGCGCGCAGGUGGUUUAAUAAGUCUGAUGUGAAAGCCCACGGCUCAACCGUGGAGGGUCAUUGGAAACUGUUAAACUUGAGUGCAGGAGAGAAAAGUGGAAUUCCUAGUGUAGCGGUGAAAUGCGUAGAGAUUAGGAGGAACACCAGUGGCGAAGGCGGCUUUCUGGACUGUAACUGGCGCUGAGGCUCGAAAGCCAGGGGAGCGAACGGGAUUAGAUACCCCAGUAGUCCCUGUCUCUUAUAA